GUGAACGCUGGCGGUAGGCCUAACCCAUGCCAGUCGAACGGCAGCACCGUAAGAGCUUGCUCUUACGGGUGGCGAGUGGCGGACGGGUGAGGAAUACAUCGGAAUCUACUUUUUCGUGGGGGAUAACGUAGGGAAACUUACGCUAAUACCGCAUACGACCUACGGGUGAAAGCCGGGGAUCUUCGGACCUUGCGCGAUUGAAUGAGCCGAUGUCGGAUUAGCUAGUUGGCGGGGUAAAGGCCCACCAAGGCGACGAUCCGUAGCUGGUCUGAGAGGAUGAUCAGCCACACUGGAACUGAGACACGGUCCAGACUCCUACGGGAGGCAGCAGUGGGGAAUAUUGGACAAUGGGCGCAAGCCUGAUCCAGCCAUACCGCGUGGGUGAAGAAGGCCUUCGGGUUGUAAAGCCCUUUUGUUGGGAAAGAAAAGCAGCAGGUUAAUACCCCGCUGUUCUGACGGUACCCAAAGAAUAAGCACCGGCUAACUUCGUG
Molecule: ribosomal RNA, 491 nt
Filed under: uncultured bacterium
Lineage: Bacteria
Description: partial 16S ribosomal RNA
Rfam family: Bacterial small subunit ribosomal RNA
Source: RNAcentral